GUGCUCGCUUCGGCAGCACAUAUACUAAAAUUGGAAUGAUGCAGAGACGAUUAGCACGGCCCCUGUGCGGGGACGGCACGCAAAUUCGUGGAGCGGUCCAUAUUUAA
Molecule: small nuclear RNA, 107 nt
Organism: Pteronotus mesoamericanus
Lineage: Eukaryota; Metazoa; Chordata; Mammalia; Chiroptera; Mormoopidae
Source: RefSeq, a predicted model, not a curated record